AGAAUCAACGCUGGCGGCGUGCCUAACACAUGCAAGUCGAACGAGAAAGUGGAGCAGUCCAUGAGUAAAGUGGCGCACGGGUGAGUAACACGUGACUAACCUACCCUUGAGUGGGGAAUAACCUAGGGAAACCUGGGCUAAUACCGCAUAACACCUACGGGUCAAAGGAGCAAUUCGCUUAAGGAGGGGUCGCGGCAGAUUAGCUAGUUGGCGGGGUAAUGGCCCACCAAGGCAGUGAUCUGUA
This 244-nucleotide ribosomal RNA is filed under the name uncultured bacterium. Its description in RNAcentral is "partial small subunit ribosomal RNA". It matches the Rfam family "Bacterial small subunit ribosomal RNA", at positions 26 to 285 of the family's 1533-position model. The record is from RNAcentral.